Molecule: non-coding RNA, 3563 nt
Organism: Leptonychotes weddellii (Weddell seal)
Lineage: Eukaryota; Metazoa; Chordata; Mammalia; Carnivora; Phocidae
Source: RefSeq, a predicted model, not a curated record
GUGCUAUCCAUAUGAUUCUGUAUUUUUUAGUAUUGUUAUGAUUUUAUUUUUCACAAUUAAGUAUUUAAUUCUCCUGUAAUCUAUUGCAGUCUAAGUACUGAAGUAGAUAUUAAAGUUUGCCCCUUCUCUCCUUAGAUAGUUGAUUCUCUCAAUACCAUACAAUCUCCACAGGUCUGAUAGAUCAUCUCUAUUGUCUUCCAAAUCCUCAUGUAUCCUUAUGUUUGUCUGAGGGCUGUUUUUGCCUAUGUAUGUUUUUCUGCCUAUAUAUUUGCAUAUCUACAUUACAUAGUUUUAAGACUAUACUUUCAGGGAUCAUUUCUAUAGUUCGUUACAUUAGUUUUAAACAGUACAGUUUACUUUUAUGUAAGACAGGAGAGAAAAUAAACCUGUAUUUGUUGUUCUCAUGCAAAAAAAAAGAUUAAAAAAUUAAUGAAAGUGGGGGGGAAGGCCUGUGAGUGAUAUGGUCAUGUAUACCUUUUGCUAUUUUGAAUUAUAAAUUGUGUGUAUGUAGUAAAUCCUAAAAAAUGAAAUUAAAAAUUACUGAUCUUUAUUAAGUAGUUUAGAAAUUAAUAGUGCCAAACCCUCUUAUUAUUCUUUUUAAGAAUUUUCUGGGCUAAACUCUGCUAUUUUUAAAUUAUCAAAAUACUGUAGUUUCAAACACACUGUUAUUUCAAUGGCAGUCAGUAGCUUUAUUUGCUCUCCCAAAAUUCUCCCCCCACUUGUCUGUCUUCCCUAACCCCAUGCCUGACUACCCUCACUUCAAAAGCACUCCAGGCCCUUACUUUACUAGUUAGUACCUGCAACUCUAAUAUGCAAUAAAAUUCCUUUUUAUCUCCUAACAAAUCUUAAAAUCUGCUCAGUUACCCAUAUAACAAUUACACAAAGACUUGUCCUGAAAAUUAGAAGUGACUUGCAAUCCAAGUCUUGAGACAAUCCCACCUAUGGUCACAACUUUCUGGCCCUUGGACCAUCUAACCUCAAGGCUUAAAUGACUAAGGACAUAACCAAUUUAAAUUUACCUUUCCCUCUCCUUGUUGCCAAAUUUAAUUUCCUGAAGAAAUUACACAAAUUAGAACUCCUUAGCAACUCUCUGCUCCUCAUUACAGUCAUUAAUGUGGGCUUUAUUUUAAGCUCUUUCCUAGGUGCCUCUCCCUGGAAAUAAUCAUUUCAGCUGAAAGUGGGAGUUAACUUUAAGCACUGGAACAUACUCUCUUCAUUCAGCCGCAUGUGUAUAAAACCAGCUAAUGAUAACAGGUGGAAGGAACAACCUUUCAAAUGUGAAGACACUCUAAUCACUUACCAAUAGGAUGGUUUUUCUGAAGAGGAAUUAUCCCUGACAGCUGUUACCACUUCCUUCUUCUCCGAUAAUGAAACCUAAGUUGAAAGUAACAAAAAGAAGAAGUAGGAAUGACCAAACCUUUUCUCUGAAGAUACGGGCGUGUAGACUUCAAAACCGAAAGGAAUAUUGACAGAAGUUCUACUAAGUCUCCAGUCACAUGGCAAGCUGUGGCUUCAUGGUACAUCAUGUGCAGUGUGUUGAAAGACUACAAGUGAUUUUAAAAAAUGGAAAACUUCAUUUCAUUUUUACUUUACUGACCACAAAAUGGUAGUACUCAUCCUUUAUGAUAGAUGUUUUCAGACCCUAUGUGUGUGCACAUGUGCACAAAUCAAAUGUAUUUGCUUUCUACCUAAGUCAAAUUCUCCCAAGUCAGCUCUUUAAAAUACAAAACAGUGCUCACCUUCGGAGCUAAUAUUUUAUGCAUACAUUUUGGUCUGAAGGAAUAAUUUGUUUCAUCAGUUUGUUUGUUUUUGGUUACUGUUUGCUCUAAGACCACAAACACCUUAGAAAUUACGAAGAAGCAGGCAACAAGAAGAUUUGGUAGAACAGGUGACUGCUUUAACUAACUUUCCAGGGCUUUGGGAAGGAAGACAAUGGUGAAAUGGUUGUCAACAGUAAGUCUGAAAUGAGGAAAAAGAGCUCCAAAAGGAAGAAUUCCUUUAAUCAUAUUGGCUUGUUAAAAUCUUUUAAUUCAAAAUCCUUAGUUUUUUUUCCUACUUCAUUCCACACAAAGGCUUUUUUCUAAUCCUCUUGAAUCAGUUCCCUAAAAUCUAUAUACUAGCCGUAAUUCAAAGUUCAAAAUCCACAGUCUAGAAUCGGUGGCAGUACAUAAUCUGAACAAUGUACUUGUGUGGCAUUUAACCUGUAAGCUGUGAGGCUAGGAACCAUGUCUGUCUUAUUCACUGCUGUAUCCCCAGUGCUAGCUAGCUAGUAGACAUUCAAACAUCUGUUGAGCGAAACAAUGAAUUUCUCACUACUUUUCACAUACUUUUUGUUCUAGCCAAACAGAAAUACUUGGCAUUUUUCAAAUACGACAAUACUUUCUUGCCUCUGCUGACCAAGUCAUUUAUCUAAAUGCUCUCUUGCUUAUCUUUACAAGUUCAAAUUCUUCAAAGUACGGUUUCAAACAUGUUGUAUUCCUAUACUAUAAUAUCAUUAACUGAAGAAAACUAUCCUACCUCUUACUUCUGAUGGUUCUUUUGGCAUAUACUCUUUUGUCUUCUCUCCUUUAUUAGACUAAGAGGUAAAAUGCACCUCUAUGGCUUUAAAAUCAUCUCACAGUUUGUGGAUGUUCACCUGUAACAGACUCAAUGGCUUCCUCUCAUGAUGCUAAUCUCACUUUCUUAACUAUCAAAUAAGUCCGCUCUUGAGAAAUUAUGUCAGUGAUUACAUCAUAUGAAUUUCAUCUGUUUCUACCCUUACACAUGGAAUGAAUAAAACCAGUCUAUUUCCAGUGGUUGUUCUAAAUACAAAAGAAGAAGAGAAGUAUGGAAUUACUAUGGACAAAGAAAACAGCAACCUAAAAACUGUGACCUAAUCAUUCUUGGAAUAUAGAUUAGCAUUUACUGAUCUAUAUAAUGAAAAUCCAGACACCUGUAAAACAGUAUAGCAUAAACUCUAAAUAUCUACACACACACAAAAAGCCUUGGUGAGAACAUUAAUAUGAGCUAUAUCUAUAGUAAAAUGAAAUAAAUAUUUACCUCAGUCAUCAGGAUCAAACCUCGAUUAAAUACAACAAGAAGUCUAUCUUCAUCAGAUUCUAACAGUAUUCUGAAGGCACUAGAAGAAUACAAAAAAUCCAGGUUGAGAACUCUGAAUCAGAAUGGAAAACUUAGGUGAAAAAAAAUAGAAGAAAACUGUAAUUGAGGCUCUUUUCCACCUAUAGGAGAGGGACUGCUAUUAUCUGUUUCCUACUAAUGUAAUAAAAGGAGUUAGUAUUAAGAAAUCCUCUAAGUAACAUGGAGAAAAGUUAUGUCUGCUAGUAUCUAGUCAACAAUUCAAUAGUGGAAGAGAGGUAUCAUAGGAAUAUUUUUAAAGUUUCUGUAUAAACAAUGCUUAUUUUCAUAAUGGGUUUAUCUUCUAGAUUAUGUUAAGCUCUGGAUAAUAAUAAAAUACACUUAUACUAUCCAAGCACUUGUCAGCUGGUUCUUGGGAAGAAAGAGAAACAUGAGGGGGAAACACAUUAAAUACAUUGUGGUCUUGAAAAUAAUUUAUGUGAUAAUUA